RNAcentral lists this ribosomal RNA (459 nucleotides) under uncultured bacterium. RNAcentral describes it as "partial 16S ribosomal RNA". It matches the Rfam family "Bacterial small subunit ribosomal RNA", at positions 338 to 795 of the family's 1533-position model. The record is from RNAcentral.
CCUACGGGCGGCAGCAGUGAGGAAUAUUGGUCAAUGGCCGAGAGGCUGAACCAGCCAAGUCGCGUGAGGGAAGACGGCCCUACGGGUUGUAAACCUCUUUUGUCGGGGAGCAAAGAGAGUCACGUGUGACUCAUUGAGAGUACCCGAAGAAAAAGCAUCGGCUAACUCCGUGCCAGCAGCCGCGGUAAUACGGAGGAUGCGACCGUUAUCCGGAUUUAUUGGGUUUAAAGGGUGCGCAGGCGGAGGUGCAAGUCAGCGGUCAAAUUGCGGGGCUCAACCCCGUACUGCCGUUGAAACGGCAGCCCUUGAGUGCGCGAGAAGUAUGCGGAAUGCGUGGUGUAGCGGUGAAAUGCAUAGAUAUCACGCAGAACUCCGAUUGCGAAGGCAGCAUACCGGCGCGCAACUGACGCUCAUGCACGAAAGCGUGGGUAUCGAACAGGAUUAGAUACCCGAGUAGUC